UGAGCUCCAUCUGUAAUCAAUCCCACCGCCUCCCACCGGCCCGUCCAGCUCCCAACGGCUCCGGCUGCUUCACCCGAGGCUGUGGUCGUGAGAACGGGAUGCGGUGUCGUGCAACGCGGCGACAUUGCAGUAAACGGAGUCUCUCUUGCGUCCGGCGAGCCUCACAUCGGAGAGUCGUCUCGAGCCGUUGGAUGAGAGCAUAACCCGCAGCGUCGGAACAGCGUCCGGCGGUUGAUCGAGGCUUCCUCCUCCUCCUCCUCCUCCUCCUCCUUCAUCUUCCUCCUCUACUCGGAGAUGCUGUCCAGCCUGCGCAGAGCCCUGCGGCCCGCUCUGUCCUACGGAGCGUACUCGGGGCUGAGAUGCAGCCGCGUCGCGUCCCCCGCAGCCUCCCCGGGCCCGGUGGGGGUCGACGUGCCCCUGGGCUCCGUAGCACCUGCCCUGUUCGUGCAGAGGUGUAGCCUGGGCACACACCCUCUGAAUGAGCCGAUGGAGCCGCUCAGUUCGCCGAGCGGAGCGAAAGAGUUUAUUUAUAGCCUCCACCCGUCUGAGCGCACCUGUCUGCUGCGGGAACUCCACCGGUUCGAGUCCAUAGCCAUAGCGCAAGGGCAGCUGCACGUGGACCCGCCAACAACGGCACAGUUGAGAUACGUUCUGCUGCACAAUGCAAUCCCUUUCAUUGGAUUUGGAUUCCUGGACAACGCCAUCAUGAUCGUUGCAGGCACACAGAUUGAGCUGUCCAUAGGAGUGAUCCUUGGCAUUUCAACCAUGGCAGCUGCUGCUUUGGGCAACCUGGUGUCUGACUUGGCAGGACUAGGGCUGGCAGGCUAUGUGGAGGCCUUGGCAUGUCGUCUGGGGAUGCAGAUUCCUGACCUCAGCCCAAAGCAGGUUGAUAUGUGGCAGACCAGAGUCAGCUCCCACACAGGUAAAGCUAUUGGCGUGGGCAUAGGCUGUAUCCUUGGCAUGUUUCCCCUUCUUUUCUUCAAAGACGACGAGGAUAAAAAGGAAGGCAAGAAAGAGGGAAAGGAGGAACCAAAAACACCUGCUGCGACAGAGACAAACAAAAACUGACGACCGAGCCGAGGACAAAUACUAUUUGAAAUCCAUGAGAAUGGUUUCAUCUGGGAUUGACUGGAGGUGUGGAUUUUACAGAGAUGUAGCUGGAGUGUGUAGUCUAAGCACUGGCACUUACAGCUAGGUUCAAGCAAUUAAUCAAAGACAGGAGGACAAUCAACCUUUGGACUGCUGCUGCUGCCCCCCUGGUCAACUGUCACACCCAACUUCACACUGUCUUUUAAUGACUGACAGGCUGAAAAUCAGCCAUUGAAAAUCACACUCCUUUUCUUGGUCUUGGUCUCUCAUCUGCUAUGAAGCUGUUGAAGUUGACAGAUAUGAGUCCUCUCACUCUACAGCAAGGGACAAAGGUGGGGAAGUUACUAAUGGGGGGGGGUGUCUAAGUAAACCUGGUUAUUCAAAAGGCAAACUCGGUGUGCUAUCAGAACCAUUUGUAAAGCCCCAAUCCUGAGAAAAUACACUAUUUGAGCUAAGAUGCAGAAUAUUUUGCAUGGCAUCUUAGACUUGAAAAUGUUGUUUCAGGCUCUGCAAGAGCUUUUUAAAAACCUUGAUGACAGUCAUGACAAGGUAGUUCAGAGGAAUAUAUGAAUAGCCCUGCCAGUAUAGCACAUUGCUUUGGCCUUGGCUCAGGCUCGUUUCAGACCACGCUGGGGUGUUUCCAUCUCUCUGGCGUCUCCUGAUCACUUCGAAGGCGAGCGGUCACAGGAAAGUACUGACUCUUACAUAUUGAAAUGCACCCCUCUGUGUCAACUCAUUUACAAAGCACUACGAUGUUACACGCAUGUCUACCUUUUGAUGAUGCCAAAGUUGUACAUUUUACCCAGCUGCCUCCUUGAGUUAUUCUGACAACCAGAGAGCUGUCACCAGUGAGACCACAAGUAGACAACUCUUUAAAAUCCAUUACUCGCUUCUUUGGCUCUUAAUGUUUUCUUAGGCAGUGAAGAGGAGUGUUUUCGGGUGAGGCUAGGCUGCUCUGUCUUACACUUGUUAACAGCUGCUGUUUGAUGCAAAGCCAUGGGAAUUAUGUACAACCAGUAAGACUUUAAAACACAAAUGUCUCAUAUGUGAAAUGAAAUGUUUGCUAGUCAAACAAAAGGGAAUUCUCUCUGUGAUAAAGGAGGGCUAUAUUGCCUUAGAAGGUUGCUUGCAGGGCUGCUUAUAAUCCAUAAAAUAUAAAAAUGUUUUUUUUUUCAUUUUUUUUUUCAGGAAGUGCAACUCUGCUGAAACGAGAAAUGGGCUGUCAGCUACUUCUUAUGAAACAAAUGAGAGGAGGAGAGGGAGAGAGAGACUGGGAGAGAGGGGGAUAAAGAGGAGGAGAGAGAGAGACUGGGAGAGAGAGAAGAGAGACUGGGGGAGAGAGGAAGAGAAAGAGGAGGAGACAGAGCAACUUUGAAAAACAUGAGCACGCAGGUAUAGCAGAAAGAUAAGAAAUUCUUAAACAUUGCUGACUGGAAUGAUCUACCCCUCAGUACAUGUUUUAAUGAUGGUACUGUCUCCUCUGUGCACAAAUCCACAUUUCAAACUUCCUCUGGCCCUGCAUCACUCUAGUGAAGCUGAAACAUGAAACGGCUCCCGUAUGGUAGUUUUUAAUGACACAGCAGCAAGCCUCUGUAGGGCGAAACAGGACUGACCCAGGCUUAUGUGCUAUUUAUGUUACUCCGUGUUGGGUGAAAACAAUACUUUAGUGAUGUGUACUCGGCACCUUGUUGUCUGCUUGGUGCCCUUUUGCCAUGUUGUGGGAAAGUGACUGCUCCUGGCAACUGUAACCCAGCUCCAUUUUGGUUUCUCCCAUUUGAAAAUGCAUUACCCCUGCUAUACUGCCAUCCACUGGUUAAAUCUAUGUCAGAGGAGGUUGUCAGUGUCAGGAAAUUUAAAAAAAACACCCAACAAAUACAAGCACAGCAUGGUAGAAGUGCAUAUUACUUACAGUAUUUCUGCUUAGGAUUUUCUUCAUAUUUGCAUUUUAUGUUCGGUAUUUAAAAACUCAAUAGAAACUGAUUAUGUAUCUGUGCGUAUUAACUCAUCACUUCAGUUUAUGGGUUAAUGUGAUUUAAUCAAUGUUUUUACUUUGACCAAACCCUGGGCACAACCAGCCAAGGUUGCAGUCAGUCUUAGUCAUCUGACAGCUAUAAACAAUAAGAAGCCACCAUCCACGUCUUGUUUGCUGUGGUCUUGAUUUCGUUGCUUGUCAUUUGAAGGGUCCUGCUUUUCCCCUCGUCAGCACUGGUGCUCAUCUCCGAAGCGAAGCAGAGUUUUAUCCCCCAUGAUUCCCAACCUGUUCGAUAGUCACAGAACUACGUAUCGCUGUAACGAGUGCUCUGCUAGAAAGUGUUAUUUGUUUUAGUUCUCUUGUGUUCAUGUCAGUUCACGUACACCUAACAUGAGGUAUAUUUUCAGCAGUAUUCACCAACAGGAAGGACUUUGCAACCAAUACCUCUAUGGUGCAACACAUAUAUCGGACAGCUUAUUUAGAAAAGAGACCUGUGUAUUUGAGUUGAUGAGUCAUUUAUUUAUCUCUUGGGUAUCAAUGAUCCAAACCAAUAAAAUAUGAAAAUAUAGAGAUUAGAAAAUGUUUGUCAGUCGUGUGUCUUCGAUGGGAUGUGCGUGACCUAUACUUUGCAUGAACUGUUUGUAAUAAAAUGAAGCCAACAACACGUCGGUUUUGCCAAAUGAACUCUGGUGUGUUCUGAGGAAGCCGGUCAGAGCAUUUUCCAUACUGGUUUUUGAGGAAAUGGAAACACAAACACAGGCUGACCUAUACUGGCAAAAUAAACCUGGUUCUUUGACCCUUUGUGAUACAAAUCAAAUCUUUUAUGGCUGUUAAUGAGAAAUUGCAUAAAAUGUGUUAUUUCCCUUGUGUAUGUACAACCAUGACAAAAUCACAUCA
Lampris incognitus (smalleye Pacific opah) is the source of this 3958-nucleotide RNA transcript. It is a transcript of the gene named transmembrane protein 65-like, with no coding region annotated. The record is from RefSeq and is a predicted model, not a curated record. NCBI's taxonomy places the organism in Eukaryota, Metazoa, Chordata, Actinopteri, Lampriformes, Lampridae. The transcript has 9 exons.